AUGAACAAUUACGAUAUUAAACUGAUACUACAUUCAAAUACGGCUGCAUUUCCAUGAACAUUCACAAACAGCGCACUCGUGAGGCAUUCAACUCUUGAAAAGUUAACGUUUCAUUUAAAUAACAGCUUAAAUUCAAAAGGUUACACACAAUAAUCUGUUUAUGUUUCUCAUUUAAACAAACCCCACAGGAGUUCGGUUAGCGGUUAAUGCUAAACAUAUGCUAAUUACGGCACAAUUACUUUUUGGCUGUAUAAAGCUUUAUUUUAUUUUAUUUUAUUUAGUAAUUUAGCAACACACCUGAGAGAAAUGUUGAUAUCCCGGUUGAGUUUUUCUCAUUUUCGCUGUCAUUCUACCUUCAUAUUCAAAUUAAAUACCUACGUUUCCACUUGCUCUCUAAAGAAAACGUUAGCCUCAGCUGUUAGCUAGUUGCUUGGCAUCCAUCUUGAUUUUCAGUUGCCUCGCAACAGUGUUCCCACACGUCCAGCGACAAAAACACACCUGGAUGUAAAACUAAUAAUAUUAACACUAUUACAUGAACUAAUAUAUAAUAUAAUAAUAAAUAAUCGUAAAUAUAAUGAAAAAUUAUAUGCAUCUGCCAUAACAUUAAAACCACCUGCCUAAUAUUGUGUAGGUCCCCCUCACCUUGUGACACCAAAAUAGUUCUGACUCAUCGAAGGAAUGGACUCCACAAGACCUCUGAAGGUGUGAAGGUAUCUGGCACCGAGACGUUACAGUGGAUCCUUUAAGUCCUGAAAGUUGUGAGCUGGGACCUCCAUGGAUCGGACUAGUUGGUCCAGAACAUCCCACAGAGACUCGAUCGGAUUGAGAUCUGGGGAAUUUGGAGGCCGAAUCAACACCUUGAACUGUUUGUCAGGUUCCUCAAACCGUUCCUGAACAGUUUUUGCAGUGUGUCAGGGAGCAUUAUCCUGCUGAGAGAGGCGACUGACGUUAGGGAAUACCGUUACCAUGAAGGGGUGUACUUGGUCUGGAACAGUGUUUAGGUAGGUGGGACGUGUCAAAGGAACAUCCACAUGGACGCCAGGACCCAAGGUUUCCCAGCAGAACAUUGCUCAGAGCAUCACACUCCCUCCGCCAGCUCGCCUUCUUCCCAUAGUGCAUCCUGGUGCCAUCUCUUCUCCAGCAGAUGAAUGUCCAGGCCUGAAAGUAGAGGCGUCAGCUCUUAAAUGAUGAUCAGAGCACAAAGCACAAAGCGCACGGAGAGGAGCUCAUCAAAUUUGCAUGGCAAAGAAGAAAGAAAAACACAUAAAUCACCCCUGAAGCUGGUGCGCAGAAACAACCGCCGGGAGCAGAGACACCUCAGUUGUGCUGUUAUGUUUUAAUGUUUAAUUUAACAUAUUUACAGAUUAUAAUCUUAUAUAUAUAUAUAUAUACACACACACACACACAUUAUACUUUUUUUACAUCAAGUUUUUUGCUUGAACAGAUACAUUGUUUUACGGAUAUAUUUUUUGUUUAUGCAUAUAAUCAGAAGUAUUUCUAAUUUUAAAUGAUUCAAAUGAUUUUAAAUUGUAAUACUUAUUUCUGAGCCAUUUAAAACUAAAUCGAUA
This is a long non-coding RNA of Ictalurus punctatus (channel catfish), 1568 nucleotides long. The record is from Ensembl. NCBI's taxonomy places the organism in Eukaryota, Metazoa, Chordata, Actinopteri, Siluriformes, Ictaluridae.